Molecule: ribosomal RNA, 257 nt
Filed under: uncultured bacterium
Lineage: Bacteria
Description: partial 16S ribosomal RNA
Rfam family: Bacterial small subunit ribosomal RNA
Source: RNAcentral
UUGCGGACGGGUGAGUAACGCGUGGAAAACCUGCCGUAUACUGGGGGAUAACACUUAGAAUAGGUGCUAAUACCGCAUAAGCGCACAGCUUCGCAUGAAGCGGUGUGAAAAACUCUGGUGGUAUACGAUGGUUCCGCGUCUGAUUAGCUAGUUGGUGGGGUAAUGGCCUACCAAGGCAACGAUCAGUAGCCGGCCUGAGAGGGUGAACGGCCACAUUGGGACUGAGACACGGCCCAAACUCCUACGGAAGGCAGCAG